This 235-nucleotide long non-coding RNA is filed under the name Setaria viridis. RNAcentral describes it as "long non-coding RNA (SVIR_LNC006707)". Lineage: Eukaryota; Viridiplantae; Streptophyta; Magnoliopsida; Poales; Poaceae. The record is from RNAcentral.
UGCUGGAGUAUUUGGAUUAGUAGAAAUGAUAUCAUCUUCAAAGAGAUUAUCUCCACAGUUUAGUCUUGUUUGGGCCUCUUCAGAGUUGUUUUUACUGAGGUGAUUUAUAGAGCCAAGAACACACAAAAAAAUCUCAUGUCUCAAUGGCUAGACCAGAAUAUGUAAUCUUCCUAAUUUUCUUUCUUUCUUUUUUCAUUUCCUAAAUUUUUUUGGAUGUAACUUCACUUUCCUUUAU